GAAACUUACAACAAAGAGUCCCUCCCGACUGUUUACCAAAAACACAGCACUCUGCUAACUCGUAAGAGGAUGUAUAGGGUGUGACGCCUGCCCGGUGCUCGAAGGUUAAUUGAUGGGGUUAGCAUUAGCGAAGCUCUUGAUCGAAGCCCGAGUAAACGGCGGCCGUAACUAUAACGGUCCUAAGGUAGCGAAAUUCCUUGUCGGUUAAAUACCGACCUGCAUGAAUGGCGUAACGAGAUGGGAGCUGUCUCAAAGAGGGAUCCAGUGAAAUUGUAGUGGAGGUGAAAAUUCCUCCUACCCGCGGCAAGACGGAAAGACCCCGUGGACCUUUACUACAGCUUGACACUGCUAUUUGGAUAAGAAUGUGCAGGAUAGGUGGGAGGCUUUGAGUAUAUGACGCCAGUUGUAUAUGAGCCAUUGUUGAGAUACCACUCUUUCUUAUUUGGGUAGCUAACCAGCUUGAGUUAUCCUCAAGUGGGACAAUGUCUGGUGGGUAGUUUGACUGGGGCGGUCGCCUCCCAAAUAAUAACGGAGGCUUACAAAGGUUGGCUCAGAACGGUUGGAAAUCGUUCGUAGAGUAUAAAGGUAUAAGCCAGCUUAACUGCAAGACAUACAAGUCAAGCAGAGACGAAAGUCGGUCUUAGUGAUCCGGUGGUUCUGUGUGGAAGGGCCAUCGCUCAAAGGAUAAAAGGUACCCCGGGGAUAACAGGCUGAUCUCCCCCAAGAGCUCACAUCGACGGGGAGGUUUGGCACCUCGAUGUCGGCUCAUCGCAUCCUGGGGCUGGAGCAGGUCCCAAGGGUAUGGCUGUUCGCCAUUUAAAGCGGUACGCGAGCUGGGUUCAGAACGUCGUGAGACAGUUCGGUCCCUAUCUGCCGUGGGCGUAAGAAGAUUGAAGAGAUUUGACCCUAGUACGAGAGGACCGGGUUGAACAAACCACUGGUGUAGCUGUUGUUCUGCCAAGAGCAUCGCAGCGUAGCUAAGUUUGGAAAGGAUAAACGCUGAAAGCAUCUAAGCGUGAAGCCAACUCUAAGAUGAAUCUUCUCUAAGCUCUCUAGAAGACUACUAGUUUGAUAGGCUGGGUGUGUAAUGGAUGAAAGUCCUUUAGCUGACCAGUACUAAUAGAGCGUUUGGCUUAUCUUUAAUAAAGCAU
RNAcentral lists this ribosomal RNA (1151 nucleotides) under Campylobacter coli. Its description in RNAcentral is "partial 23S ribosomal RNA". It matches the Rfam family "Bacterial large subunit ribosomal RNA", at positions 1772 to 2925 of the family's 2925-position model. Lineage: Bacteria; Pseudomonadati; Campylobacterota; Epsilonproteobacteria; Campylobacterales; Campylobacteraceae. The record is from RNAcentral.